Molecule: ribosomal RNA, 253 nt
Filed under: uncultured bacterium
Lineage: Bacteria
Description: partial 16S ribosomal RNA
Rfam family: Bacterial small subunit ribosomal RNA
Source: RNAcentral
UACGUAGGUGGCGAGCGUUGUCCGGAUUUAUUGGGCGUAAAGCGCGCGCAGGCGGUUUCUUAAGUCUGAUGUGAAAGCCCUCGGCUUAACCGAGGAGGGUCAUUGGAAACUGGGAGACUUGAGUGCAGAAGAGGAAAGUGGAAUUCCAAGUGUAGCGGUGAAAUGCGUAGAGAUUUGGAGGAACACCAGUGGCGAAGGCGACUUUCUGGUCUGUAACUGACGCUGCGGCGCGAAAGCGUGGGGAGCAAACAGG